AGUGAACGCUGGCGGUAGGCCUAACACAUGCAAGUCGAACGGCAGCACAGUAAGAGCUUGCUCUUACGGGUGGCGAGUGGCGGGCGGGUGAGGAAUACAUCGGAAUCUACUUUUUCGUGGGGGACAACGUAGGGAAACUUACGCUAAUACCGCAUACGAUCUACGGGUGAAAGCAGGGGAGCUUCGGACCUUGCGCGAUUGAAUGAGCCGAUGUCGGAUUAGUUAGUUGGCGGGGUAAAGGCCCACCAAGGCGACGAUCCGUAGCUGGUCUGAGAGGAUGAUCGGCACACCUGGACCUGAGACCCGGCCCAGCCCCCUACGGGAGGCAGCGGUGGGGAAUAUUGGACAAUGGGCGCAACCCUGAUCCAGCCAUCCCGCGUGGGUGAAGAAGGCCUUCGGGUUGUAAAGCCCUUUUGUUGGGAAAGAAAAGCAGCAGGUUAACACCCCGCUGUUCGGCCGGUCCCCAAAGAAUAAGCACCGGCAAACUCCGU
RNAcentral lists this ribosomal RNA (491 nucleotides) under uncultured bacterium. RNAcentral describes it as "partial 16S ribosomal RNA". It matches the Rfam family "Bacterial small subunit ribosomal RNA", at positions 29 to 506 of the family's 1533-position model. The record is from RNAcentral.